RNAcentral lists this ribosomal RNA (503 nucleotides) under uncultured bacterium. RNAcentral's name for it is "partial 16S ribosomal RNA". It matches the Rfam family "Bacterial small subunit ribosomal RNA", at positions 30 to 523 of the family's 1533-position model. The record is from RNAcentral.
AUUGAACGCUGGCGGCAGGCUUAACACAUGCAAGUCGAGCGGGGUGAUGGUGCUUGCACUAUCACUUAGCGGCGGACGGGUGAGUAAUGCUUAGGAAUCUGCCUAUUAGUGGGGGACAACAUCUCGAAAGGGAUGCUAAUACCGCAUACGUCCUACGGGAGAAAGCAGGGGAUCACUUGUGACCUUGCGCUAAUAGAUGAGCCUAAGUCGGAUUAGCUAGUUGGUGGGGUAAAGGCCUACCAAGGCGACGAUCUGUAGCGGGUCUGAGAGGAUGAUCCGCCACGCUGGGACUGAGACACGGCCCAGACUCCUACGGGAGGCAGCAGUGGGGAAUAUUGGACAAUGGGGGGAACCCUGAUCCAGCCAUGCCGCGUGUGUGAAGAAGGCCUUAUGGUUGUAAAGCACUUUAAGCGAGGAGGAGGCUCUUUUGGUUAAUACCCAAGAUGAGUGGACGUUACUCGCAGAAUAAGCACCGGCUAACUCUGUGCCAGCAGCCGCAGUAA